GACGAACGCUGGCGGCGUGCUUAACACAUGCAAGUCGAACGGAAAGGCCCUGCUUUUGUGGGGUGCUCGAGUGGCGAACGGGUGAGUAACACGUGAGUAACCUGCCCUUGACUUUGGGAUAACUUCAGGAAACUGGGGCUAAUACCGGAUAGGAGCUCCUGCUGCAUGGUGGGGGUUGGAAAGUUUCGGCGGUUGGGGCUGGACUCGCGGCUUAUCAGCUUGUUGGUGGGGUAGUGGCUUACCAAGGCUUUGACGGGUAGCCGGCCUGAGAGGGUGACCGGCGACAUUGGGACUGAGAUACGGCCCAGACUCCUACGGGAGGCAGCAGUGGGGAAGAUUGCACAAUGGGCGGAAGCCUGAUGCAGCAACGCCGCGUGCGGGAUGACGGCCUUCGGGUUGUAAACCGCUUUCGCCUGUGACGAAGCGUGAGUGACGGUAAUGGGUAAAGAAGCACCGGCUAACUACGUGC
RNAcentral lists this ribosomal RNA (469 nucleotides) under uncultured bacterium. RNAcentral's name for it is "partial 16S ribosomal RNA". It matches the Rfam family "Bacterial small subunit ribosomal RNA", at positions 28 to 508 of the family's 1533-position model. The record is from RNAcentral.